GUAGGGUGCGAGCGUUGUCCGGAAUUAUUGGGCGUAAAGGGCUCGUAGGCGGUUUGUCGCGUCGGGAGUGAAAACCAGGUGCUUAACACCUGGCUUGCUUUCGAUACGGGCAGACUAGAGGUAUUCAGGGGAGAACGGAAUUCCUGGUGUAGCGGUGAAAUGCGCAGAUAUCAGGAGGAACACCGGUGGCGAAGGCGGUUCUCUGGGAAUGACCUGACGCUGAGGAGCGAAAGUGUGGGGAGCGAACAGGAUUAGAUACCCUGGUAGUCCACACCGUAAACGUUGGGCGCUAGGUGUGGGGUCCAUUCCACGGAUUCCGUGCCGCAGCUAACGCAUUAAGCGCCCCGCCUGGGGAGUACGGCCGCAAGGCUAAA
RNAcentral lists this ribosomal RNA (374 nucleotides) under uncultured bacterium. Its description in RNAcentral is "bacterial SSU rRNA". It matches the Rfam family "Bacterial small subunit ribosomal RNA", at positions 527 to 898 of the family's 1533-position model. The record is from RNAcentral.